Molecule: RNA transcript, 2370 nt
Organism: Entelurus aequoreus (snake pipefish)
Lineage: Eukaryota; Metazoa; Chordata; Actinopteri; Syngnathiformes; Syngnathidae
Gene: mipa
Gene name: major intrinsic protein of lens fiber a
Exons: 5
Source: RefSeq, a predicted model, not a curated record
UCCCCCCUGGCCUGGUAAAGGAGCUGAAUGAGUGCAGUGCUUGUGUCUUCAUGUUCCGCUAACAUCCCUGAGGUUGGCUCCUACAUGCUAGCAGAACUGUGCGGCGCUCCACUCAGGAGCUCUCCAUGAAUAUCAGAAUUCGCAAAGUAUCCAAACGUGCAUGUUGAUAGUUGAGCUUUCCAGAGGCACUUAGAUUUGAACUGAAGGUGUUCAAAUCUCCUUUUUAUUUUUUAUUUUUAGUCAAGUACGAGCACCAUGUGGGAGGUUCGCUCCAUGUCUUUCUGGCGGGCGGUGUUUGCCGAGUUCUACGGCACCAUGUUCUUCGUCUUCUUCGGUCUGGGGGCCGCCCUCCGCUGGACCACGGGCCCUCACAAUGUUCUGCAUGUGGCCUUUUGCUUCGGGCUGGCGGCGGCCACGCUCAUUCAGUCCAUCGGCCACAUCAGCGGAGGACACAUCAACCCCGCCGUCACCUUCGCAUUCCUCAUCAGCUCCCAGAUGUCUCUGUUCCGUGCCAUCCUCUACAUUGUGGCCCAGUGUCUCGGAGCCUUGGCUGGUGCUGCCGUGCUCUACGGUGUCACACCCAGCAACAUGAGGGGCAACCUGGCCCUCAACACGGUGCAGCCAGGCAUCAGUCUGGGAAUGGCCACCACCAUGGAGGUCUUCCUCACCCUGCAGCUUGUCGUCUGCAUCUUCGCCGUCACAGAUGAGAGGCGCAACGGACGCCUGGGAUCCGCCGCCCUGGCUAUCGGUUUCUCAGUGCUGAUGGGACAUCUUCUUGGGAUUUAUUACACCGGAGCAGGAAUGAACCCAGCGAGGUCCUUCGCCCCCGCUGUGCUGGUCAAGAACUUUGUCAACCAUUGGGUAUACUGGGUGGGGCCUAUGAUUGGCGGCGCUAUUGGCGCUCUGCUCUAUGACUUCAUGCUCUUCCCUCGUAUGCGCGGACUCUCCGAGCGGCUGGCCACGCUGAAGGGCACCAGGCCUCCGGAGGCCGAGGGCCAGCAGGAGACCCGAGGAGAACCCAUUGAGUUGAAGACCCAGGCACUAUAAGCCCACAGAAGAAUCCCAUCUGCUAACCCCUCACUCCUCACUCCUCCAUCCCAUCCACAACAGCUGAGUCACAGCAUGUGCUCUUGUGCCUCCCUCUUUUUUGGACUGCAGGACAAAGAUGACGACCUCCCUUCAUCUUUCUUUCUCUUCCUUUUCUAGUCUGCUAGGAGUGAAGCUACAGUAGAGACUUCAGCAUGCUUUUUUUCUUCUCCAAUUUGAGCCGGCAUGAUUUUGCCCUUUAUAGUUUUGUUCCAGCAACCAUCGCUUAUUGACAUGAAUAACUCAGAAGACUGUCCAAGACUAGGCCCAUAUCCUCUGUGGCCCUGAGAGAGACAGACAAACUUGAAGAAAAGCAAAAGAACAACGGGGAAAGGAAGUGAAGGAAUCACACCUACACGUCAUCAUUGAAGACAGAGGGGGAGUUCGAACUGAAUUCUACAGCAGGAGACUCCGAGGUCUCCAUCUGGUCCGUUGCGAGCGACUCUGCAGGGCUGAAUUGCUGGAACUGAUGCCUGACAGAAAGGGCAGUAAACAUCAUUUAAUUACAGUAGGAGAAGACAGAAGUGCAUAUGUUUUUUCUGACAAAGCGUGAAUAGAGACAGUGAGGAAACACCCUUCUUAAACUCCCCUUUAAGCCUUUAAGUUUGAGGUGAAGAAGUGGGCGUGACAUUUUUUCCUCAUCUUGAGGCUUUAAAAUGACAAUAAUGGCUAGCCGUGCAUUGUCUUGCAUAAUAAUCAUGGUCAGACUAAGGGCCGGAUCUACAAAAAAUUGACGUGCACUAAAACACGUGCUGAGCUGCGAAACUUGUGCCCAGAGGAUUGUGUCCCUGAAAUAUGCAGAAUAGGUUGUAUUCGGUCACGUGACUUUUGAACGUAAGUAAACGAAUUGGUGGGGCACCAAACCAACAUGGCUACUGUGCAGUAAACAGAGUACGCAAGGGGCCUAGAUCUUACCACUAAAAGCAGAUACGAGUAAAAAAUCAAACUAUGCAAUGGAAUCCAUGCCUAUACGUUGUCAAAAAAAGAUUUGUCGAGUGAUCUCAAGAUUUCUAGGUCGGUCACGUUCCCAGACAUAUCGAACUUUUGCGCUCCAGACGUCAUUCUACACGACAAAACAGAUGAACAUUUUGAAAAGCAUGGAGAUCUACAACUUCUUUGUGUGUGUCUGGGUCAAUGAAAUUAGUAUCAAGAUUCUCCCGGAUAAAUAUUCUUCGUUUUUGCUCGGGUAAGGUUGCAUUUCACGAGGGACAUGUAACCAAAUAUUAACAUUGCUGUAUGUAUACUUUUGAUCCAGCAGAUUUGGUCACAUUUUCAGUAGACCCA